Molecule: ribosomal RNA, 253 nt
Filed under: uncultured bacterium
Lineage: Bacteria
Description: partial 16S ribosomal RNA
Rfam family: Bacterial small subunit ribosomal RNA
Source: RNAcentral
UACGUAGGGACCAAGCGUUGUUCGGAUUUACUGGGCGUAAAGGGCGCGUAGGCGGCAAUUCAAGUCAUCUGUGAAAUCUCCGGGCUUAACUCGGAACGGUCAGAUGAUACUGCUUUGCUAGAGUACAGAAGGGGCAAUCGGAAUUCUUGGUGUAGCGGUGAAAUGCGUAGAUAUCUGGAGGAACACCGGUGGCGAAGGCGGCAUCCUGGACCAACACUGACGCUGAGGAGCGAAAGCCAGGGGAGCAAACGGG